This 253-nucleotide ribosomal RNA is filed under the name uncultured prokaryote. RNAcentral describes it as "partial 16S ribosomal RNA". It matches the Rfam family "Bacterial small subunit ribosomal RNA", at positions 524 to 776 of the family's 1533-position model. The record is from RNAcentral.
UACAGAGGUGGCAAGCGUUGUUCGGAAUUACUGGGCGUAAAGGGCGCGUAGGCGGUUCGUUAAGUCCUGUGUGAAAUCCCCCGGCUCAACUGGGGAACUGCACAGGAAACUGGCGGGCUUGAGUUCGGGAGAGGGAAGCGGAAUUCCUGGUGUAGCGGUGAAAUGCGUAGAUAUCAGGAGGAACACCGGUGGUGUAGACGGCUUUCUGGACCGUAACUGACGCUGAAACACGAAAGCGUGGGUAGCAAACAGG